UACAGAGGUCUCAAGCGUUGUUCGGAUUCAUUGGGCGUAAAGGGUGCGUAGGCGGUUCGUUAAGUCCUGUGUGAAAUCCCCCGGCUCAACUGGGGAACUGCACAGGAAACUAGCGGGCUUGAGUUCGGGAGAGGUGAGUGGAACUGCGAGUGUAGAGGUGAAAUUCGUAGAUAUUCGCAAGAACACCAGUGGCGAAGGCGGCUCACUGGCCCGGUACUGACGCUGAGGUGCGAAAGCGUGGGGAGCAAACAGG
RNAcentral lists this ribosomal RNA (253 nucleotides) under uncultured bacterium. RNAcentral's name for it is "partial 16S ribosomal RNA". It matches the Rfam family "Bacterial small subunit ribosomal RNA", at positions 524 to 776 of the family's 1533-position model. The record is from RNAcentral.